Molecule: microRNA precursor, 83 nt
Filed under: Ascaris suum (pig roundworm)
Lineage: Eukaryota; Metazoa; Nematoda; Chromadorea; Rhabditida; Ascarididae
Description: microRNA asu-mir-5347 precursor
Source: miRBase by way of RNAcentral
CUCUGCUUACAUUCGGCUUCCCUCAACGCCGCUGCUACCAGCCACAGCAGCGACGGUGUUGACGGAGGUCGAGUGUAGACAGA